GACGAACGCUGGCGGCGUGCUUAACACAUGCAAGUCGAACGGAAAGGCCCUGCUUUUGUGGGGUGCUCGAGUGGCGAACGGGUGAGUAACACGUGAGUAACCUGCCCUUGACUUUGGGAUAACUUCAGGAAACUGGGGCUAAUACCGGAUAGGAGCUCCUGCUGCAUGGUGGGGGUUGGAAAGUUUCGGCGGUUGGGGAUGGACUCGCGGCUUAUCAGCUUGUUGGUGGGGUAGUGGCUUACCAAGGCUUUGACGGGUAGCCGGCCUGAGAGGGUGACCGGCCACAUUGGGACUGGGGUACGGCCCGGACGCCUACGGGAGGCAGGAGUGGGGAAUAUUGCACAAUGGGCGGAGGCCUGAUGCAGCAACGCCGCGUGCGGGAUGACGGCCUUCGGGUAGGAAACCGCUUUCGCCUGUGACGAAGCGUGAGUGACGGUAAUGGGUAAGAAGCACCGGCUAACUACGUG
Molecule: ribosomal RNA, 467 nt
Filed under: uncultured bacterium
Lineage: Bacteria
Description: partial 16S ribosomal RNA
Rfam family: Bacterial small subunit ribosomal RNA
Source: RNAcentral